CAAAUUUAUGGUCAAAUUAUAUCGCUCUGGCUUGGUUCCACCUUAAACGUUGUGGUCUCAUCCUCCGAGUUGGCCAAGGAAGUGCUCAAAGACAAGGAUCAGCUAUUGGCUCAUAGGCCAAGAAAUAAGCCUGUGAGUAUAAUGUCCAAAGAUGGCAAAGGCAUUCUGUGGGCAGAUUAUGGUCCUCAUUACGUUAAACUGAGAAAAAUUUGUACUCUCGAGCUCUUCUCCCCAAAGGGUAUUGAAGCUCUCAGACCUAUCAGAGAAGGUGAAGUCAGAGCUAUGGUUGAGUCAAUUUUUAAAGAGACUAUUAAUCCUGAUAAUUAUAGCAAGAUUUUGUUACUUAGAAAGUAUUUGCAGCCCGUAGUCUCAAACAGCGUUACAAUGUUAGUAUUAGGGAAGCGAUUCUUGUCUAGAGGUGGUGUGACAAGCGAACUGGGACAGGAG
Molecule: unclassified non-coding RNA, 447 nt
Filed under: Hevea brasiliensis (rubber tree)
Lineage: Eukaryota; Viridiplantae; Streptophyta; Magnoliopsida; Malpighiales; Euphorbiaceae
Source: RNAcentral